AGUGAACGCUGGCGGCAGGCCUAAUACAUGCAAGUCGAGCGAACAGAUGAUAAGCGUUCUCCUCUGACGUUAGCGGCGGACGGGUGAGUAACACGUGGAUAACCUACCUAUUAUACUGGGGGAACUUCGGGAAAAAAGAGCUAAUACUAGCGAAUAUAUUGAACGGCUUGAAUCAAGAGUGAAUGGCAGUUUUGCUGUCACUUUUAGAUGGAUCCGGGCCGCAUUAGCUAGUUGGUAAGGUAACAGCUCACCAAGGCAACGAUGCGUAGCUGACCUGAGAGGAUGAUCAGCCACACUGGAACUGAGACACGGUCCAGACUCCUACGGGAGGCAGCAGUGGGGAAUAUUCGGCAAUGGGCGCAAGCCUGACGCAGCCACGCCGCGUGGGUGAUGAAGGUCUUCGGAUUGUAAAGCUCUUUUAUUGGGAAAGAAAAACUGUGUAAGAAAAUACCCACGUUCUGACGGUACCCAAACAGAAAGCACCGGCUAACUACGUG
RNAcentral lists this ribosomal RNA (497 nucleotides) under uncultured bacterium. Its description in RNAcentral is "partial 16S ribosomal RNA". It matches the Rfam family "Bacterial small subunit ribosomal RNA", at positions 29 to 507 of the family's 1533-position model. The record is from RNAcentral.